This is a non-coding RNA of Schizosaccharomyces pombe (fission yeast), 396 nucleotides long. The record is from the annotation of a GenBank genome assembly. Lineage: Eukaryota; Fungi; Ascomycota; Schizosaccharomycetes; Schizosaccharomycetales; Schizosaccharomycetaceae.
AACGGAGUUUCUGAAAGGUAAUUUCUGCAAUUUUGUGGUUGCCAUAAGACAUAGCGUCGGAAGCUAAACGAGACCAAACCUCAGGUCGGUCAAUCGUACGGGCAAGCUCUAAAGCAGUUUCCAAGUUUCCGCACUCUAAUGCCAAUUCAAAUCGGGUGGAUGGAUCCUCAACGAAUUGUAAAGCGAUUUCAGGAUAACCCUUCUUCUGAAGAUAAGCUAUAAUAGCCUGACCAACGAGGUUAGAAUUUUGAAUUAAAUGAAGAACUUGUUCGUAAUCCUUUCUUAACAAGGCUAAUUUGAACAAAUAUUCAGUGGGAUCUAUUUCAAAACUAACGGGUUCAGCAGCACGAUUGAGAGCAAAAACCAUAUUUCCUUUUGCUUUGACCAAAUACAAAG